This 240-nucleotide unclassified non-coding RNA is filed under the name soil metagenome. RNAcentral's name for it is "partial contains 5.8S ribosomal RNA, internal transcribed spacer 2, and large subunit ribosomal RNA". The record is from RNAcentral.
AACGGUCUAUACCUGCGGUACCUGCGGAGGGAUCAUUACAGAGAACUUGCCCGUCUGGGUAGAUCUCCCACCCUUUGUUUACUAUACCUUUGUUGCUUUGGCAAGCCUGUCUUGUGACUACUGGCCUCCAGCUAGUAAGUGCUUGCCAGAGGACCCCAAACACUUUACAUUGUGUUGUCUGAGUAGUACAGAAAUUUUUAAAACUUUCAACAAUGGAUCUCUAGAUCGGAAGAGCACACG